This 890-nucleotide ribosomal RNA is filed under the name 'Withania somnifera' phytoplasma. Its description in RNAcentral is "bacterial SSU rRNA". It matches the Rfam family "Bacterial small subunit ribosomal RNA", at positions 439 to 1337 of the family's 1533-position model. The record is from RNAcentral. Lineage: Bacteria; Bacillati; Mycoplasmatota; Mollicutes; Acholeplasmatales; Acholeplasmataceae.
UUAGGGAAGAAUAAAUGAUGGAAAAAUCAUUCUGACGGUACCUAAUGAAUAAGCCCCGGCAAACUAUGUGCCAGCAGCCGCGGUAAUACAUAGGGGGCAAGCGUUAUCCGGAAUUAUUGGGCGUAAAGGGUGCGUAGGCGGUUAAAUAAGUUUAUGGUCUAAGUGCAAUGCUCAACAUUGUGAUGCUAUAAAAACUGUUUAGCUAGAGUAAGAUAGAGGCAAGUGGAAUUCCAUGUGUAGUGGUAAAAUGCGUAAAUAUAUGGAGGAACACCAGUAGCGAAGGCGGCUUGCUGGGUCUUUACUGACGCUGAGGCACGAAAGCGUGGGGAGCAAACAGGAUUAGAUACCCUGGUAGUCCACGCCGUAAACGAUGAGUACUAAACGUUGGGUAAAACCAGUGUUGAAGUUAACACAUUAAGUACUCCGCCUGAGUAGUACGUACGCAAGUAUGAAACUUAAAGGAAUUGACGGGACUCCGCACAAGCGGUGGAUCAUGUUGUUUAAUUCGAAGGUACCCGAAAAACCUCACCAGGUCUUGACAUGCUUCUGCAAAGCUGUAGAAACACAGUGGAGGUUAUCAGUUGCACAGGUGGUGCAUGGUUGUCGUCAGCUCGUGUCGUGAGAUGUUGGGUUAAGUCCCGCAACGAGCGCAACCCUUAUUGUUAGUUACCAGCACGUAAUGGUGGGGACUAUAGCAAGACUGCCAGUGAUAAAUUGGAGGAAGGUGGGGACGACGUCAAAUCAUCAUGCCCCUUAUGACCUGGGCUACAAACGUGAUACAAUGGCUGUUACAAAGGGUAGCUGAAGCGCAAGUUUUUGGCGAAUCUCAAAAAAACAGUCUCAGUUCGGAUUGAAGUCUGCAACUCGACUUCAUGAAGUUGGAAUCGCUG